Molecule: long non-coding RNA, 5652 nt
Filed under: Pelobates cultripes (western spadefoot toad)
Lineage: Eukaryota; Metazoa; Chordata; Amphibia; Anura; Pelobatidae
Source: RNAcentral
AAUAUAUUGUUCCAUAUGUACUUUUCUCUACAGACAACUAAAAUAUCAUGAAGCGGAUGACAGAGAGAUUGAAUUCACACAGUAAGGAUGGCAUUAAAAAAAAAAAAGCUAAUUGUGCCUCACAGACGAGGAUUGUUGAGGGUUCAAAUGAUCAUUUGUGGCAUUUCAAUACUGACCUUGUUAGUAGGACUAGUCUGAUAUCAGUGGCAGAACUAAGUCAAAGAGAACCCCAGGCCAAAAUGUAGAUCCACAAUUGCAUGAACGAAGACUUGUACAAGUAUGGUGUAUAUGUGUGUGUGAAUGCAGGAGUGUACGUGUGUGUAUUGUUGUUAGAGACAUAUUCACAUACACACAUAACACUUCCGCAAAUGCUGAUACACAUCAAUACACAGAUCCUGCCUCAAAGAUAUACACAGACAUACAUACAGUGUCACAUAGAGGUACAUCUAAACACAAAUUGAUGCACACUUAUAAAUACAUUGAAGCAUAUAUACACACUGACAUACAAUGACACAUUGAAUCACAUGCACAUACAGAUGCACACAGUAACAUACACAGUGAUACAGAGACACACCACAGAUAUGCACACACUGACACACCCAUAUAGAAUAAAGAAAUUACAUAUUUUAGUCACCCUGCUUGUAGCGGAACGCCAAUAUUAAAUCCACGAAUUCCGCUGGUUCAGGAAGUAAUCCACAGUCAAGCUCUGGAAAAAGCAAGGCAAUAUCCCAAACCUCCCAUUAACCGGACGAAACACAGUUCUGAGAGUCAACUGAGGUCUUUAUUUUCAGCUCCACAAUUUAUACAAGUCCCCAUGCAAGGGGUUUCCUGAGUCCCCUCCCAGGGGCAUUCCCAGAGUGGACUACAUGGAGACUUAUUGUACAGGGCAUUUCUCCCAUCAGGCCCUGCUGCACAAGAAGGAUCCUCCCACAGGAAUGUACCGUUAAGUGGAUUAUCCCUCCGUGCAGCAGAACCGACAAUUUAUAUUAAAAUGCAUAACUGUGGUAAUAUACGGUCUAUUUGCACGAAUGGACGUUCGGUAGAUAGCUGGGGUCUGAGCGCCUCAUUCGUGAGAUUAACGCUCAGAUCCCAGCUAAAACAACCGAACGCCGCACGAAAAACACAUUUAUUAAAAUACAUGUUUAAAUGACCGAUUGCCUUCCAGGGAACAAAGUACCGAACGGCCCGGAACUCCCGAACGGCCUGGAGACUCAGCGGUGUUCAUGCCGUCGAGUAGCCGUUUUUAGUACCAUGCGCUCAACGACCUAACACCGCUGAGGGAACAAAGGAUCCAAGAUGGACGACCGCCGCAUGGUCGGUAGUCGAACGGCGGACACCUCGCAGAGCCUCUAAUUACCAAUUGCAACAUUGUUGCAAUCAGUUAACAAGUGCCACACGUCUCUAAGUGUGUGGGCUAAUACAUGGGGGUAUUUUUGGUUCACGAACGGCCCGCAAAAGUGCAGUUCGUGAAACGAAAGAAAAUCCAAUACAAACAGCUAUCUGCAUUCGGCAGAUGGCCAAUACAGCAAAUACAUGUAAAUUACAACCCGCAUACAUUCUACAUAGUUAAGCCCAUAUCCCACAACCAUAUAGGCAACCCUUAAAGGCACAGUCUCUUUAUAGUGUCCAAGUGGCCAUGUUUGCCACACUGCUGUUGGGGCAGAAAGGUGGCUUUCCUGGGGUCAGUAGGAGUUAUGUGGGGCAGAUAGAAGUUGGUUUAAGCUGGUCCAGGCUGCUGUCUCCCUUCUCUCAAUGCAGCUGUGAGUGUGUUCCAAGAAGAAGUGUACUCUCUGCCGGUAAAUUAUUGGAAAUAUUUCUAAUUUUAAAAAAAGAGUUAGUGUUUGGCUGAUGUGGUCUAAUUUUUUUCAGUUCCCUUGUCAGUGUUCGUGAGUAUAGCGGAAAUUACUUAAUUUAAAGGAUCACUAUGGGCACACAGAACAUUUCAGCUCAUUGAAGUGGUCUUGGUGCACUGUCCCAGGUCCCUUAAUCCUGCAAAGGUAAUUCUUGCAGUUUUUAAUAAACUGCAAUAAUUACCUUUGUGGAUUAACUUCACCUCUAGUUGCUGUCUACCAGACAGCUACUAGAGGGACUUACGGGUCGUUAGGUGACUUUUGGUUGCAUAACUGAUGCUGGACUCCCUCACGCUAGGCAUCCAGCGUCACCUGAAACCCCAUACUAAAGCACUGUAUAAUGCUUUCCUAUGGGGAAAUCCUAAUGCGAGCACGGCCAUUGCAUUGCAUUGCCAUUGCACGGCCAGGUCUCCCUUGUCAGCUGAUGUGGGCAGGGGACGAGCCCGAGCCAGCUCUGAGAGACAUUGGCACCCCUUUCUGCACCACGGGGAAAGAAGGGGAACGCUAAAAGGGAGCUAUAGUGCCAGGAAAACAUCUUAGUUUUCCUAGCACUGUAGUUUCCCUUUAAGGAUAUUGUAUAGAGAUAUUUCCUGGGCACCAGUUUAUCGGUUCUACCAUUUCUAUGUUCUUCUAUUUGCACUCAUAUUUUGCUCUAUGUAUUCUCAGAACAUGCUCUGUUUGUGAGAAAGAGAGAUAAAUACUUACCUACAAUGAACAAAAUUAUAAAUGCAACACUUUUGUUUUUGCCCCAAUUUUUCAUGAGCUGAACUCAAAGAUCUAAGACUUUUUCUAUUUACAAAAGGCCUAUUUCUCUCAAAUAGUGCUCACUAAAUCUGUGUUAGUGAGCAUUUCUCCUUUGCCGAGAUAAUCCAUCCACCUCACAGGUGUGGCAUAUCAAGAUGCUGAUUAGACAACAUGAUCAUUGCACAGGUGUGCCUUACACUGGCCACAAUAAAAGGCCACUCUAAAACGUGCAGUUUUAUCAAACAAUGCCACAGAAUUAAUUUCACGAGGGGCCCGGUCAGCGCUGCGGCGCUUAAACAGCUCGACCGGCCCACGUGUGAUGACAUCAGAGCUUGGAGGAAGUGACUGCUCUGGUCACUCCUUCCAGCUUGCACCGGGAGCCACACAGGAGGAAGGAGAGGAAGAAGUCAGAGUGGGAACUCUGACUACCUUCAGGCUGAAAGAUAGGAAACAGUAGGGUCACUUAAACAUUUUGUAUAUGUGUGUGUUUGUUUGUAUGUGUGUGUGUUUGUGUCUGUAUGAAUGUUUGUAUGUGUGUCUAUGUGUAUGUCUGUGUGUCUGUGUGUGUGUGUUUGUAUGAAAAGUAUCUCACAAAAGUGAGCAUAUCCUUCACAUUUUUUCAUGUGACCUCACUGAAGAAAUUACUCUGCUGCAAUGUAGUAGUAGUGAGUGUACAGUCUGUAUAACAGGGUACAUUUGCUGUCCCCUCAAACUAACUCAACACACAGUCAAAACCGUUGGCAACAAAAGUGAGCACACCCCUAAGUUGAAAUUUUCAAAUUGGGCCCAAAGCGUCAAUAUUUUGUGUGGCCACCAUUAUUUUCCAGCACUGCCUUAACCUUCAUGGGCAUGGAGUUUACCAGUCUCUUACUACUUACACUUACUACUUCACAUUGUAGCAGAGUGUAAUUUCUUCAGUGUUAUAGAUAUAUUAAAAUAUUUACAAAAAUGUGAGGUGUGUACUCACUUUUGUGAGAUACUGUAUGUAAGUUUGUAUGUAUGUGAAUCUGUAUGUGUGUGUAUGUUGUGGGCUAUUUUCGCCCCGGGCCCUGUGGUUUCUAGUUACGCCUCUGUAUACAUACAAUACAUACAUAAUUGUUUUUUUACACAGGCCAGGAGAUUCACAUGAUGGAAAAGAUCGAGGCUGGCAGGAAGCUGCAGAGGGUCAAUUAUAGAUCUAUUUUCAGCCUUAAAUGAUGGCCAUUCUACUGGGUAAGCACUGGACCAAAAUAGCUCACACUAAACACAUUCUUUUUUGAGUUAGAAAUGUCUAGCUAACAGACUUUUUUUUUUUUUUUUUUAAACUACCAGCUGAGCGUUUAGCAAUAAUUUUUUUUUUUUUUUUACAGAUUUAGCUCUGGAGGUCUGUCUGUAUAUCAUGGUUUUUUAUUAUUUUUAUUUUAUUUAUUUAUUAUUAUAUAUUUUUUUAUCUUUAAUUUUGGUGUGUAAAUAAAGUACAGACGCAUAAUUGACUUAAAGUAAAACCAUCAUAAUUUUUUUAUUAUUAAAAAUAAUAAAUGAUGAUGUGCUACAACCUUUGUUGUGUAUUAUUAUAUCAAGGAUAUAUAACAGUUAAUAACUUUAUGUGCUUUUCCUUGAGGGUGGCCAUCUUUAGCAAUCUAUGGUCAGAAGGACUACCUUCAUCCUAAGCCCACGCGCAAUUAGAAAGUCUGCAAACAUGCAGAUGCCGAUUAGUGCAGCAUUUUAGGAACUCAACCAAGUAGGCAGGGCGGGGCCAGCAGUGACAAAACCGAAGCAGUGCUCUAAAUAAGGUAAGUUAACUACCUUUUUAACCGGGGGCAAGAGGGGACUGGAUACUUAAAGGACCACUAUAGUGCCAGAAAAAUAUACUCAUUUUCCUGGCACUAUAGGGCCCUGAGGGUCCCCCCCACCCGGGUCCCCCCCACCCUCAGGAUCCCCUUCCCGUCGGGCUGGAUGGAGAGGAAGGGGUUAAACUUACCUCUUCUCCAGCGCAAGGCGGGGAGCUCCUCUUCGGCUGAAUGCGCAUGCGCGGCAGGAGCCGCGCACGCAUUCAGCCAGUCCAUAGGAAUUCACAAUGCUUUUCUAUGGAUGCUGGCGUCUUCUCACAGUGAGAAACGUGGAAGCCCUCUAGAGGCUGUCAAUGAGACGGCCACUAGAGGCUGGAUUAACCCUAGCAUAAAUAUAGCGGUUUCUCUGAAACCGCUAUGUUUAUAGAAAAAAGGGUUAACCCUAGAUGGACCAGGCACCCAGACCACUUCAUUAAGCUGAAGUGGUCUGGGUGCCUAUAGUGGUCCUUUAAACAGCGGUUUUAGAACUAUAGUGAUAUGAAUACAUGUUUGUAUUCCUGACUCUAAAGUGUUCCUUUAAACUGGUUUAGAGAACAGAAAGAGACUGUCUGUUUGUAUAUAACCUCCAUAUAUGUUUAUAGCUGUUAGAUUGUUAGGCUCAUUAUCGACCUUUCUCCCUAUGCUUGGUCACUUAUAAUGUCCUGUGGACAUAAUACAAAUGCUAUUUUAGUACAGACCUUUUGGCCCUUUUUUCAAUAAAGCCUUUUUGUAUGUUCCCUACUAUUUUAUAUAUACUGUUAAGUUUAAGUAAUCACUAACCGAUGAGUGAAGGAACCUCAUGAACUAUAUUUUUACCACUUACAACAAACUACACACUGUAUGGGUAUUGGGUGGUUACUUAUCAUAAGGAUGAAUUGUGCACUACUUGCAAACACCAGUUAGCAGGUCCCAUCUGUUUUAACUCUUGGAAAUGGCUAAACAUUCUCAUUUAGAAUUAAGGAUUAACCCCUGGACCUAUAUAUUUGUAUUUUUCAUUGUUCUAUUUUUUUUGAGAGCAAAAAACUUGCAGUGACUCUGUCCAAGUGUGAAAGAUUACAGCUACAAUCGAUUAGUCAGAGGUGAACAAUGAGGGCACAACUUAACUGCCUCAUACAGAAGGAGACAAUACAAAGGAUUAAGGAGACAAUCUCUGCCAUAUACACAUGAAACUAAUUAUCUGUUACUUUUAUUUUCAGAUGGAUAAUCUUGAUGACUGUCAAUUACUGGCUACCUCAUACAAAUAGUAAGGG